RNAcentral lists this ribosomal RNA (873 nucleotides) under uncultured bacterium. RNAcentral's name for it is "bacterial SSU rRNA". It matches the Rfam family "Bacterial small subunit ribosomal RNA", at positions 194 to 1074 of the family's 1533-position model. The record is from RNAcentral.
CAGUCGAGGAAAGCUCUCUCGAGAGAGGGAGCGCCACACGAGGAGCCUGCGCCCGAUUAGCUAGCUGGUGGAGUAAUGGUUCACCAGGGCGACGAUCGGUAGCUGGUCUGAGAGGACGAUCAGCCACACUGGGAUUGAGAACGGCCCAGACUCCUACGGGGGGCAGCAGUGAGGAAUUUUCGUCAAUGGGGGCAACCCUGAACGAGCAACGCCGCGUGCAGGAAGAAGGUUUUCGGAUCGUAAACUGCUUUUCUCGGGGAAGAGAACGGACGGUACCCGAGGAAUCAGCCCCGGCUAACUACGUGCCAGCAGCCGCGGUAAUACGUAGGGGGCAAGCGUUGUCCGGAGUUACUGGGCGUAAAGCGCACGCAGGCGGUUCUUUCAGUUCCUGGUGACAGUCGUCGGCUUCACUGACGAAGGAGUGGGAAGACGGGAGAACUUGAGGGCUUCAGAGGGACACGGAAUUCCGGGUGGAGUGGUGAAAUGCGUAGAUAUCCGGAGGAACACCAACAGCGAAGGCAGUGUCCUGGGAAGUCGCUGACGCUCAGGUGCGAAAGCCAGGGGAGCGAACGGGAUUAGAUACCCCGGUAGUCCUGGCCGUAAACGAUGACCACUAGGCGUGGGAGGUAUCGACCCCUUCCGUGCCGGAGCAAACGCGGUAAGUGGUCCGCCUGGGGAGUACGGUCGCAAGAUUAAAACUCAAAGGAAUUGACGGGGACCCGCACAAGCAGCGGAGCGUGUGGUUUAAUUCGAUGCAACGCGAAGAACCUUACCAGGGUUUGACAUGGAGCCGCACCGCCCGUAACGGGGCGUGCCCGCAAGGGACGGUUCCACAGGUGCUGCAUGGCUGUCGUCAGCUCGUGUCGUGAGAUG